RNAcentral lists this unclassified non-coding RNA (345 nucleotides) under soil metagenome. RNAcentral's name for it is "partial contains 5.8S ribosomal RNA, internal transcribed spacer 2, and large subunit ribosomal RNA". The stretch from base 1 to 120 matches the Rfam family "5.8S ribosomal RNA", at positions 35 to 154 of the family's 154-position model. The record is from RNAcentral.
GAUGAAGAACGUAGCGAAAUGCGAUACGUAAUGUGAAUUGCAGAAUUCAGUGAAUCAUCGAGUCUUUGAACGCACAUUGCGCCCCCUGGUAUUCCGGGGGGCAUGCCUGUCCGAGCGUCAUUGCUGCCCUCAAGCACGGCUUGUGUGUUGGGCCUCCGUCCUCCUCCCGGGGGACGGGCCCGAAAGGCAGCGGCGGCACCGCGUCCGGUCCUCGAGCGUAUGGGGCUUCGUCACCCGCUCUUGUAGGCCCGGCCGGCGCUUGCCGACACAUCAAUCUUUUUUCCAGGUUGACCUCGGAUCAGGUAGGGAUACCCGCUGAACUUAAGCAUAUAAAUAAGCGGAGGA